This is a long non-coding RNA of Zea mays, 254 nucleotides long. RefSeq lists it as uncharacterized. Lineage: Eukaryota; Viridiplantae; Streptophyta; Magnoliopsida; Poales; Poaceae. The record is from RefSeq and is a predicted model, not a curated record. The transcript has 3 exons.
UCCGCUCCGCUCCAGAUUGCGCGCACCCACCCAUGGCGCUCGCCGCUUCCCACCACGGCCUCCUGCCCUUCGCCCCCGCUGCCACGCCUACCCCGUCACGGGGGCACCUGCGCUUCCGCGCCGCGCGCCCUCUGCCCCGCCCCGCCCGGAGAAUUUGUUGCCAAUCUAUCAACUCAGCUAAUGUGUUGGGAGCUUCUUCAACGACAUCUGAUGAGGCAAUCCCAGUCCCAGUUGUCUAGAUAGAUCAGGACUCA